AGCUUUUCGAAUCCGUGCUGAGAUUUCAUCCGACAUCAACCCAUUUAGACUGAUCAGAUUUACAAGAUAAGUGAAGUU
This is a non-coding RNA of Schistosoma curassoni, 78 nucleotides long. The record is from Rfam. Lineage: Eukaryota; Metazoa; Platyhelminthes; Trematoda; Strigeidida; Schistosomatidae.